RNAcentral lists this transfer RNA (72 nucleotides) under Candidatus Hodgkinia cicadicola. Its description in RNAcentral is "tRNA-Val". Lineage: Bacteria; Pseudomonadati; Pseudomonadota; Alphaproteobacteria; Hyphomicrobiales. The record is from RNAcentral.
GGGUAAUUAACUCGGUGGCAGGGUGUUUCGUUUACACUGAAAGGUCAAAGGUUCGAUCACCUUAAUCACCUA